Molecule: non-coding RNA, 75 nt
Organism: Podarcis lilfordi (Lilford's wall lizard)
Lineage: Eukaryota; Metazoa; Chordata; Lepidosauria; Squamata; Lacertidae
Source: the annotation of a GenBank genome assembly
GGAAGGACUGUAGCUCAGGGGUAGAGCCCCUGCUUGGCAUGCAGAAGGUCCCAGCCUCAAUCCCCAGCAUCUCCA